Molecule: transfer-messenger RNA, 349 nt
Filed under: bacterium
Lineage: Bacteria
Rfam family: transfer-messenger RNA
About the family: Bacterial tmRNA, also known as 10Sa RNA or SsrA, is named for its dual tRNA and mRNA-like properties. Its role is to liberate the mRNA from a stalled ribosome. To accomplish this part of the tmRNA is used as a reading frame that ends in a translation stop signal.
Source: RNAcentral
GGGGGCGUCAGGGUUCGACGGGACACGCUUGACGCUCAGUUGCGAGUCGAGGCGCCGCUGGCCUCGUAAAAAAGCGGCACACAAGAAGUGCGAACACUAACUAUGCUCUCGCUGCCUAAUUAGCAGCGCGCCGCUCGCCUUGCGGUCGAUCCGAGGCGAGCCGAGCGUGGGCUAGAUCGACUGACUCUCGAAGCUGCGCUUCGGGCUGAGAGAGGACAACCUACGAAGCUGGCGUGGGCACGCCCUGCCUUUCGGGACAGUCCACGCGAGAUCCAAAGAAAGGCUACGCUCGUAGACGCUGAGUGUGCAACGGUCUCGGAAGGGGGUUCAAUUCCCCCCGCCUCCACCA